Long non-coding RNA from Ooceraea biroi (clonal raider ant), 613 nucleotides. RefSeq lists it as uncharacterized. Lineage: Eukaryota; Metazoa; Arthropoda; Insecta; Hymenoptera; Formicidae. The record is from RefSeq and is a predicted model, not a curated record.
GAAGAAUAAGAGGAAGCUUAGCAUUGAUUGAAACUGGUUGUGAUAUUUUUCGUAGAUCUGCAGAGGCUUCUGCAUAGUCUGAGAUAUUACGUGACGUCACAAUAAAAUAAAUGUCACGUGCGAAAAUAAACUGUUACGUGCAACCUGUUGCGAGUUAUGCAGAUUGUAACGUGUAAUAAUGCCAUAAGCUCUUGGAUAUACUCAAGAUUCACCGAAGCGUGGCAGCGCGCUAAAUCGAACAAAGAUGAUUCGCGCGUUCUUUUCCGUUGCGUUGAUUACACCUGUUUUGUGUUUCCCGGUGCCGGCUAUUAAUACUAUGACGUAACGCAAAAUACCGCACGUGCAAUUCGAGAUGAGGCACACUGAGGAAUUGAGACCUGACCUUUGUCUUCGAGGAAUAGCGUCAUAAAUCGAAAAUUGAUAACUAGUAACGUCACGAACCCGGAUAAUCGUGUCCUGUUGGUGAUUAAGUCCUCGUCUUAUUAGAAUCGUGUUUAAACGUUUAUCGUGUUUAUAUAAUUUUUCAAGAGUUUAUCUUUACUGUACAUUGAGUGGAAAAAUAAGAGUAAAAAUUGGAAUAUGGAAAUUACAUGAAAAUUAUAAUAUAAAAAAA